This 253-nucleotide ribosomal RNA is filed under the name uncultured bacterium. RNAcentral's name for it is "partial 16S ribosomal RNA". It matches the Rfam family "Bacterial small subunit ribosomal RNA", at positions 524 to 776 of the family's 1533-position model. The record is from RNAcentral.
UACGGGGGGGGCUAGCGUUGUUCGGAAUUACUGGGCGUAAAGGGCGCGUAGGCGGUCUGCUAAGUUGGAUGUGAAAACUCUGGGCUUAACCCAGAGCCUGCAUUCAAUACUGACAGGCUAGAGUUCUGGAGGGGAUAGCGGAAUUCCUGGUGUAGCGGUGAAAUGCGUAGAUAUCAGGAGGAACACCGGUGGCGAAGGCAGCUCGCUGGGACGGUACUGACGCUGAGACGCGAAAGCGUGGGGAGCAAACAGG